GGAGGACGUGACCAUGGACACAAGUGAAAACAGACCUGAAAAUGAGGUUCCUGAGCCUCCUGUGCCUAUUGCAGACCAAGUCAGCAAUGAUGACCGCCCAGAAGGCAGUGCUGAAGAAGAGGAGAGGAAAGAGGUAACUAGCCGAGCCACCUGUUGGGGAGGGUGGGCAGAGUGUGGGCCUAGGGAGAAUAGAUCCCUCUUACACAGUGGGAUGACUUAAAGGGGACAAGGCAGGGCCUUGGAUCAGGAUAGGGCAAGGGAGAAUUCGCUGGUUUAGCAAGGGAUACCUCUUGUGAUAGGGACAAGGUCUUAGGUUUCCUUCCCUACAUGAGAAGUAGUAUUACGUACCAGGCUUCUAGUUUGGAAGUCUGUUGAUGGCUCUUUUUUUAAAAACCCAAGUGCAGCUAGCUUUCUGUGAAGCUAACUCCUUGAGCUUUCCCUCCUUUUUAAAAGCUUGAUGGCACUCAACGCCACCUAGUGGGGCUUUGGGUCUCUUACCAAGUCAGCCAUGCUCAGGAAUUUUUGUUGCUCUUCUGCCCCCCAGUGGUCUAAUUACAGAAAUGUAGCUUCUUCACCCAGGGCCUGAACC
RNAcentral lists this long non-coding RNA (589 nucleotides) under Rattus norvegicus (Norway rat). RNAcentral describes it as "long non-coding RNA NONRATT010860". The record is from RNAcentral. Lineage: Eukaryota; Metazoa; Chordata; Mammalia; Rodentia; Muridae.